GAAAUGCGAUAAGUAGUGUGAAUUGCAGAAUUCAGUGAAUCAUCGAAUCUUUGAACGCACAUUGCGCCCUUUGGUAUUCCUUAGGGCAUGCCUGUUCGAGCGUCAUCUAAACCUUCAAGCCCUGCUUGGUGUUGGGUGCCUGUCCCGCCUCCGCGCGCGGACUCACCUCAAAUCCAUUGGCGGCCCCCGCGUCGGCCACGAGCGCAGCAGAAACGCGAACUCGUGAGCCCGUCCGGGCGGCUCCCAGAAGCUACACCCCCCCAGUUUGACCUCGGAUCAGGUAGGGAUACCCGCUGAACUUAAGC
This 305-nucleotide unclassified non-coding RNA is filed under the name plant metagenome. RNAcentral describes it as "partial contains 5.8S ribosomal RNA, internal transcribed spacer 2, and large subunit ribosomal RNA". The stretch from base 1 to 105 matches the Rfam family "5.8S ribosomal RNA", at positions 50 to 154 of the family's 154-position model. The record is from RNAcentral.